UCCCUGAUGACGGGGGACACACCUCCGCAUGUGGUAUCACAGGGUCCAGUACUCCCAAUCGCUGUGUGUGGGGAACCGAGCAGCUUCUAUCCCUCUCAAUGCCGAGCCACCUCUGGUGGUCACGGGGUCAGGCACCUAUGGCGUGGGGCAUGUCAGAGUGAUGUAUCGCUGCUGAUGUCGGCGGUCAGGUCCUGCAUGACGUGGCGUGGAAGCGAGCUGUGACAGUGAGCAGGUUGGUGUCAUCCAUAUGAUAGGCGGAGAGUGUCCGCGUGACUCGAGCGUACCUCACCCGGCCCUAGCUGCCUACCGUCGGAGAGCCUAAGCCCCCGCCAGGGGUGCACCAUGUGGCUGCUGGCACCAUGGAAGCGGUUGUGAAGCGACCUGAGAGGCAGAGUUUGUGGCAGAGGCGGUUCUCAGAUGGCUGAGGCGGCAUCGCUAUAAGACGUGCCUACGGCUGCUUCGCACUACGCAACGGAGUCUGUGUCGGGCCAGGUAGAGUGGAGGUUGAACCCUCUUCUACAGCAGAGAAUGGGCACGUCGAAAAGAAAACAUCUGUGGUGAACCGGCUUAGUGUGCUUCGGUGCUUGUAUGCGUGUGUGUGUGUGUGUGUGUCUGUGGUUGGUGCUCUCUUCCUUUCCGUGUGCCCAGCCCCAGGCCUUUGUCUUUGUGUAUUGUCGUUGUCCCCUUGUCCCACACGCACACGCACCCCUCUUGGCGUACGAAGCGCAUAUGGGCAACAACCGACGAAGUACCAGUGGAGAUUCUGACGAGGGAGCGAGGUAGACAAUCGAAUGAGGCUGAGCAGCAAACAAAGAAUAAAAACGCUAACAUAUGAUGCCCUCACACACACACACACGUGUAUGCAUACAUGCGUACACACGCAGAACAUGUCACGGGUAAAAACGCCGGUGCACGCAUUCGGAAGGUAAUCC
Molecule: unclassified non-coding RNA, 932 nt
Filed under: Leishmania donovani
Lineage: Eukaryota; Euglenozoa; Kinetoplastea; Trypanosomatida; Trypanosomatidae
Description: gene:unknown
Source: RNAcentral